RNAcentral lists this long non-coding RNA (1615 nucleotides) under Astyanax mexicanus (Mexican tetra). RNAcentral describes it as "lncRNA (ENSAMXG00005016369.1)". The record is from RNAcentral. Lineage: Eukaryota; Metazoa; Chordata; Actinopteri; Characiformes; Acestrorhamphidae.
AUGUGUGAAAAGACAGCCCAUGUGGUCAGCGCUGUGACGCAGAUGAAGAAGCUGCAGGCCAGAAAAUACAAGGAUGCUGUUCUGUUCACUGACCCUGCUGCAGAUACUGAUGACAUGGCAGAGGCUAAACAGAGAGCUCUUCUUGAUCAGCGCCAUCUAGAGACGUACCACAGGAUUCACCGGCUGAGGGACAGACUGUACCAGCACUACUCUGAGUUACUGACAGAGAAGAUCCAGAGACAGAGGCAGGAGCUGAAGAUGCAUCAUGACUCAGCUUCCCAGAAAAACACAGAAAAUGACACUGAACAGAGAAAAAGAAAACCACCCGUCCAGAAGCUCAUAGCUUCAACCCUCAAGCAUGAUGAUGCGUAUCUGGCUGCUUUACCUAAAACACGCUAUUAUCUGAUCCUGGAGCUUCAGAGGCUCCUGGCCCAGCGUGGGUGUCUGCAGGGUCCCAGGGAGCAGGAGGUGUUCCAGCACUGGGUGGACCAGGCCAAAACAGCACAACUGGAGAAACAGCUACAGCAGAUCGUGCUUCGCAGCAAGUCAGCUCCAGUGCUGACGGUGGAAGACUUGCUAAAGAAGAAGAAGAAGAAGAAGAAGAUGCCGGAACAUCUCCCACAGAUACAGGUCUCAACUGAAGAGAGCUCAACCCAACAGAAGCAUCAGACUGCAGUCUCAGAGAGUGCAUCAGGAGCGUUAGCUGUCUCUCCUCGUCUCUACAGCAAGCAGAUUCAGAACCAAACUGAGCUGAAGUUUCCCAGCGUCUUCUCACAGGAGCUCAGAGUGCCCAGGUUCUCCACUCUACAGCCCAGAUUUCUGGAGACCUUCAAGACCAACCCUCUUCUUCUGAGAGUGAAGGAGGCACCUCACCAAUCGAAAGCUGCAGUCGUGACCCAACACCAGCUUCGCCUGAUGCACAGCCUCUCCCUGUCUCACAUCGCUCACACACACAGACUGCUGGACAAAACGGGACUUGCUCUUCAUCGUGAUACAGGAUACAGCAUCAGCGACCUGUUGGAGCAUGUGUGUCCAAACAAAAUCUCAAUUAAAGAACCGAGAUGUUCAACACAGCCUCUUCUCCCACCACUGCAGUCUCUGGAAGAUCACUCCAAAACUGAACUUCCAAAACCUUCUAUGGAGGACACAGUCACUCCAUCCCACCAGGCAAGCAGCAGGAAACAGACUGACGACUCUGCGUUAAGCUACGAUAAAGCUCCGAACUCCUCCAGCUCAGAUGUUCCUCUGUCCAUGGAGGACAUUCACUCUCCGAGUAUUUCAUUGGCUAAAGACCCUGAUGACAAGACCUGGACCAAUUAUGUGUCUUAAAGUCAGCACUUUCAGCACUGCUCUGACCCCUUUUAAGAUAAAGAGGCUUUUUUAUACUAAAUUGUGUUUUUCUUGUUGCUUUUGUAACAUUAGAGACUUCUACUAAAAUAUAUCUUUAAGUGUAACUCACAAAUUAUGUAUAUACUUCUGAUAAAUUUGACUCAAUUUAAUCAAAUGCCACUUCAGCAACUGUAAUAUGUACUUUAAAUGUGUUUAUUUAGUUUAUAAAUUUAUAUGAAACAUAUAUUUUAUUAUGUUUCAGAGUCUGAUAUAUGUAAUAUUUGCA